Molecule: long non-coding RNA, 488 nt
Organism: Mauremys reevesii (Reeves's turtle)
Lineage: Eukaryota; Metazoa; Chordata; Testudines; Geoemydidae
Exons: 4
Source: RefSeq, a predicted model, not a curated record
GUGCAUUUAGGUCGCUGCUUCCGUCAAUCUAAUUACCUUUACUCAAGGAGUGGAAUGCAGCACCCCAUGGUGUAGAACCUACCGUUUACACAUGAUGACGGAGUUACUUCUUUGGUUCAAGUGCUGCUGCCUUCUGCUUUCAAUGCUGAAGAUCCCAGGUCCCAUCCCUUCAACACUGGAUCUAUAUGGUGCUCCCUCCUUAGCCCAGCGCGAAGGAUUCCUGCCUUCUCUUCAAAUCCCGCCUCAAACAUUGCUGCUUCUGCAAAGCGCACCCAGAAUCACCCGGGCCUGUAUGCAGACAUCUUCCAUCUCUUUCGCCGUGGUUGCUGUUAUUAACAGAGGGCCAAAGGAUCACUGCCCUCUGGAGGCUGAAACCGGAACAGCAAAUGCACCAGAAAGAAAACAAGGGAUGGAACAAAAGGCCAGUCCAGAAUUUAUUCAUCUGAAUUUUAGCGUUUGUUUGUAAGUAACAGUUGAAAUAAACACAA